This 212-nucleotide long non-coding RNA is filed under the name Panax ginseng (ginseng). RNAcentral's name for it is "long non-coding RNA (PGIN_LNC003966)". Lineage: Eukaryota; Viridiplantae; Streptophyta; Magnoliopsida; Apiales; Araliaceae. The record is from RNAcentral.
AUUGGGUUUGUUCCUAAGCUAAAAAUUUGACUUGUAACCUAUAAAUACAUGAUGUAAGGCAUAGAAUAAAGGGAGAAUGCAUAGAUUAGAUUAGAGAUACACUCCAUUAGAUUAGAACAUAAACCCUAGUUUUUAUUAGUUUUUGAGAUUGAAGCAACUUGGAGACCAAUGAAGAAAAAAAGCAGGAGCUUGAGGAAGAUGCAGAUUUGCUG